RNAcentral lists this long non-coding RNA (411 nucleotides) under Capra hircus (goat). RNAcentral's name for it is "lncRNA (ENSCHIG00000008275.1)". The record is from RNAcentral. Lineage: Eukaryota; Metazoa; Chordata; Mammalia; Artiodactyla; Bovidae.
AAAUAAUUAAUGUUUAUUUUUUUAAUAUCAUGUUUUAUUUGUUUUCAGCACUCAGCAAGACAUGCUGGUGAACCCCAACUCUGCGUCUUCAUGAUCAAGGGACCCUUUUACACAACACAAAGGGAUAACGCUGAAUGAAUCACAGACUGGUGGAUGGAUGUUCCUUCCUAACACUUUUAAUUAGCAGCAUCGCCUAUUAGAAUGAACAGAGUGUGGUGUUUCUGCCAUAGAUUACCCCAACCUGCCUUACAUAGAAUAGAAAUUUUAUUCUCCACAAGGUUCAAAAAGGGUUGUAAAGCAGUGGAGACAACUCGCAACAUCAGCAAUGCAUUUGGCCCAGGAACUACUAUGAGUGUACAGUGCAGAGGUGGUUCAAGAAGUUUUGCAGAGACACGAGACUUGAAGAUGAGG